GAUGAACGCUCUCUGUGUGCGUAAUACAUGCAUGUGGAACGGGAUAUGGCAAUACAUUCAGUAGCGAAUGGGUGAGAAACACGUAUCUAACCUACCUUUAAGACUGGGAUAACUAUUGGAAACAAUAGCUAAUACCGGAUAUAGUUAUUUAUCGCGUGAUGAGUAAUAGAAAGGAGCUUCACAGCUUCACUUAAAAAUGGGGGGGCGGAACAUUAGUUAGUUGGGAGGGGAAUGGCCUACCCAGACGAUGAUGUUUAGCCGGGGCGAGAGAGUGUACGGCCACACUGUGACUGAGAUACGGCCCCGACUCCUACGGGAGGGGGCAGUAAGGAAUUUUCCCCAAUGAGCGCAAGAUCGAUAGGGCGCCACACCGCGUGGGGAUGAAGUUCUUCGGAAAGUAAACUGCUCUUUUAUGGGGAAGAGAAAAAUAGAAUAGGGAAUGUGUUUUAUCUUGACGGGACCCUUUUUGAGAGGGACACGAAAAACUAUGCCCGAAGCCCCGGGAAUACACAGGUCCCAAGCGUUAUCUCGGAAUUUUGGGCGAAAACGGCCCUAGGGUUUUUUGCCAGACUGGAGUUAAAAGCGGAGCUCCACUUUAGGCCCCUUUGGAACCGGAAAAUAGAAUUUAAAGAGGGUGCGGGAUUCUAGGGAAGCGGGGGGAUGCGUGAUAUUUGGGGGGCACCCAUAGGGGAGGGGGUUUAUUGUGUAUUAUAUUUAGACAAAAGACCAAACGCUUGGAAACACAAGGAUAGAUAUCCUAUAAGAUCAAGGGCGAAUUCCAAUUGGGGUGGCCCCGGGGAUCCCAUAUCUCUAGAGGGGCGACCCCGGGACCCAAAUUCCCUAUAGAGAGACUCAUAUACGCGCUCUCCGUGCAGCGUUUUCAAC
This 885-nucleotide ribosomal RNA is filed under the name uncultured Eubacteriales bacterium. RNAcentral describes it as "bacterial SSU rRNA". It matches the Rfam family "Bacterial small subunit ribosomal RNA". The record is from RNAcentral. Lineage: Bacteria; Bacillati; Bacillota; Clostridia; Eubacteriales.